This 1147-nucleotide ribosomal RNA is filed under the name Cellulophaga sp. Ss85. Its description in RNAcentral is "bacterial SSU rRNA". It matches the Rfam family "Bacterial small subunit ribosomal RNA", at positions 59 to 1211 of the family's 1533-position model. The record is from RNAcentral. Lineage: Bacteria; Pseudomonadati; Bacteroidota; Flavobacteriia; Flavobacteriales; Flavobacteriaceae.
AAGUCGAGGGGUACAGAGGAGCUUGCUCUUGCUGACGACCGGCGCACGGGUGCGUAACGCGUAUACAAUCUGCCUUACACUAAGGGAUAGCCCAGAGAAAUUUGGAUUAACACCUUAUAGUUUAUUUUUAUGGCAUCAUUUAAAUAAUAAAGUUUACGGUGUAAGAUGAGUAUGCGUCCCAUUAGUUUGUUGGUAAGGUAACGGCUUACCAAGACUACGAUGGGUAGGGGCCCUGAGAGGGGGAUCCCCCACACUGGUACUGAGACACGGACCAGACUCCUACGGGAGGCAGCAGUGAGGAAUAUUGGACAAUGGAGGAGACUCUGAUCCAGCCAUGCCGCGUGCAGGAAGACGGUCCUAUGGAUUGUAAACUGCUUUUAUACAGGAAGAAUAAGGACUACGUGUAGUCUGGUGACGGUACUGUAAGAAUAAGGACCGGCUAACUCCGUGCCAGCAGCCGCGGUAAUACGGAGGGUCCGAGCGUUAUCCGGAAUUAUUGGGUUUAAAGGGUCCGUAGGCGGGCUGUUAAGUCAGGGGUGAAAGUUUGCAGCUCAACUGUAGAAUUGCCUUUGAUACUGAUGGUCUUGAAUUAUUGUGAAGUGGUUAGAAUAUGUAGUGUAGCGGUGAAAUGCAUAGAUAUUACAUAGAAUACCGAUUGCGAAGGCAGAUCACUAACAAUUGAUUGACGCUGAUGGACGAAAGCGUGGGUAGCGAACAGGAUUAGAUACCCUGGUAGUCCACGCCGUAAACGAUGGAUACUAGCUGUUUGGAUUUCGAUCUGAGCGGCCAAGCGAAAGUGAUAAGUAUCCCACCUGGGGAGUACGUUCGCAAGAAUGAAACUCAAAGGAAUUGACGGGGGCCCGCACAAGCGGUGGAGCAUGUGGUUUAAUUCGAUGAUACGCGAGGAACCUUACCAGGGCUUAAAUGUAGAUUGACAGGUUUAGAGAUAGACUUUCCUUCGGGCAAUUUACAAGGUGCUGCAUGGUUGUCGUCAGCUCGUGCCGUGAGGUGUCAGGUUAAGUCCUAUAACGAGCGCAACCCCUGUUGUUAGUUACCAGCACAUUAUGGUGGGGACUCUAGCAAGACUGCCGGUGCAAACCGUGAGGAAGGUGGGGAUGACGUCAAUCAUCACGGCCCUUACGUCCUG